AUCAUGCAAGUCGAGCGAACUGCAUUAGAAGCUUGCUUCUAUGACGUUAGCCGGCGGACGGGAUGAGUAACACGUUGGGCAACCUGCCUGUAAGACUGGGCAUAACUUCGCGGAAACCGAAGCUAAUACCGGAUAGGAUCUUCUCCUUCAUGGGUAGCAUGAUUGAAAGAUGGUUUCGGCUAUCACUUACAGGAUGGGCCCGCGGUGCAUUAGCUAGUUGGUGAGGUAACGGCUCACCAAGGCAACGAUGCAUAGCCGACCUGAGAGGGUGAUCGGCCACACUGGGACUGAGACACGGCCCAGACUCCUACGGGAGGCAGCAGUAGGGAAUCUUCCGCAAUGGACGAAAGUCUGACGGAGCAACGCCGCGUGAGUGAUGAAUGCUUUCGGGUCGUAAAACUCUGUUGUUAGGGAAGAACAAGUACAGAGUAACUGCUCGUACCUUGACGGUACCUAACCAGAAAGCCACGGCUAACUACGUGCCAGCAGCCGCGGGUAAUAC
Molecule: ribosomal RNA, 502 nt
Filed under: marine sediment bacterium ISA-3182
Lineage: Bacteria
Description: bacterial SSU rRNA
Rfam family: Bacterial small subunit ribosomal RNA
Source: RNAcentral